AUACGGAGGAUCCGAGCGUUAUCCGGAUUUAUUGGGUUUAAAGGGUGCGCAGGCGGCCAUUUAAGUCAGCGGUUAAAUCGUGGGGCUCAACCCCAUUCUGCCGUUGAUACUGGGUGGCUUGAUUGCGGUCGAGGUUGGCGGAAUUCGUUGUGUAGCGGUGAAAUUCAUAGAUAUGACGAAGAACACCGAUUGCGUAGGCAGCUGACCAGACCGCAAAUGACGCUCAUGCACGAAAGUGCGGAGAUCGAACAGGAUUAGAUACCCUGGUAGUCCGCACAGUAAACGAUGAAUACUUGUUUUCGGCGAUAUAAUGUCGGAGGCAAAGCGAAAGCGAUAAGUAUUCCACCUGGGGAGUACGCCGGCAACGGUGAAACUCAAAUGAAUUGACGGGG
RNAcentral lists this ribosomal RNA (392 nucleotides) under uncultured bacterium. RNAcentral describes it as "partial 16S ribosomal RNA". It matches the Rfam family "Bacterial small subunit ribosomal RNA", at positions 523 to 918 of the family's 1533-position model. The record is from RNAcentral.